Molecule: ribosomal RNA, 421 nt
Filed under: uncultured bacterium
Lineage: Bacteria
Description: partial 16S ribosomal RNA
Rfam family: Bacterial small subunit ribosomal RNA
Source: RNAcentral
AAUAUUGGACAAUGGGGGCAACCCUGAUCCAGCCAUGCCGCGUGUGUGAAGAAUGUCUUCUGAUAGUAAAGCACGUUUAGUUGGGAGGAAGGGCUUUAGGCUAAUACCCUGAAGUUUUGACGUUACCAACAGUAUAAGCACCGACCAACUCUGGUCCAGCACCCGCGGUAAUACAGAGGGUGCAAGCGUUAAUCGGAAUUACUGGGCGUAAAGCGCGCGUAGGUGGUUCAGUAAGAUGGGUGUGAAAUCCCCGGGCUUAACCUGGGAACUGCUUUCAUAACUGCUGAGCUAGAGUACGGUAGAGGGUAGUGGAAUUUCCUGUGUAGCGGUGAAAUGCGUAGAUAUAGGAAGGAACACCAGUGGCGAAGGCGACUACCUGGACUGAUACUGACACUGAGGUGCGAAAGCGUGGGGAGCAAAC